UAGCUACCAAAAAUUAUGGUCGCUUUAACUCGUUUUCCUUACAUAAUCUUCAAAAAUGGGUCCCACUUCUUACAUCCAUCGGAUUACCAAUUCUGAGUCAAGUAGCAUUGUCUCACUUGGUUGAGGUUAUUUUCUAGCUCCUUUUCUCAGAUGUUGGCAUGCUUAUCUGCUAUGGAUUCACUGUCGAAAAGGUUGCUAUGCAAGAUUUUGAGGUUAUGGAGCAGGUGAAAGGCAGAGACGUCAUGGAAUCCGAAGAAAAAGGUGGCAAAAGGUUGUUUGGCUAAUUGUGACUCUUGGAAGGUGCAACUACUAGUAAGGAAAAUAUAUAGAGGCCAUCUAGAGCUUAACUUGUUGUGCAAACUUGGGGAAUAUCUCUGAAGAUCACGUCAAACCAAGAACGGAAAGUUUCUAAAAAUGGCUUGCAUGUUGCGCUAUAAAGAAGGCAUGGUGAUCUACCACAAAUCGUUGCAGCAAAUUAAACUAGUUUCAUACUUAAAAGAGCUUGAAUAUGAUCAAUUUUAUUAGUUUUUAUUU
Long non-coding RNA from Gossypium arboreum, 534 nucleotides. RefSeq lists it as uncharacterized. NCBI's taxonomy places the organism in Eukaryota, Viridiplantae, Streptophyta, Magnoliopsida, Malvales, Malvaceae. The transcript has 2 exons. The record is from RefSeq and is a predicted model, not a curated record.